AUAUCAAUAAGCGGAGGAAAAGAAACCAACAGGGAUUGCCUCAGUAACGGCGGGUGAAGCGGCAAGAGCUCAAAUUUGAAAUCUGGCCCCUUGGGGGUCCGAGUUGUAAUUUGGAGAGGAUGCUUCGGGUGUGGCCCCCGUCUAAGUGCCCUGGAACGGGCCGUCAUAGAGGGUGAGAAUCCCGUCUGGGAUGGGUGGUGCCGCCCGUGUGAAGCUCCUUCGAAGAGUCGAGUUGUUUGGGAAUGCAGCUCUAAGAGGGUGGUAAAUUUCUUCUAAAGCUAAAUACCGGCCAGAGACCGAUAGCGCACAAGUA
Molecule: ribosomal RNA, 313 nt
Filed under: uncultured Talaromyces
Lineage: Eukaryota; Fungi; Ascomycota; Eurotiomycetes; Eurotiales; Trichocomaceae
Description: partial large subunit ribosomal RNA
Rfam family: Eukaryotic large subunit ribosomal RNA
Source: RNAcentral